GAUGAACGCUGGCGGCGUGCCUAAUACAUGCAAGUCGAGCGAACAGACGAGGAGCUUGCUCCUCUGACGUUAGCGGCGGACGGGUGAGUAACACGUGGAUAACCUACCUAUAAAACUGGGAUAACUUCGGGAAACCGGAGCUAAUACCGGAUAAUAUAUUGAACCGCAUGGUUCAAUAGUGAAAGACGGUUUUGCUGUCACUUAUAGAUGGAUCCGCGCCGCAUUAGCUAGUUGGUAAGGUAACGGCUUACCAAGGCGACGAUGCGUAGCCGACCUGAGAGGGUGAUCGGCCACACUGGAACUGAGACACGGUCCAGACUCCUACGGGAGGCAGCAGUAGGGAAUCUUCCGCAAUGGGCGAAAGCCUGACGGAGCAACGCCGCGUGAGUGAUGAAGGUCUUCGGAUCGUAAAACUCUGUUAUUAGGGAAGAACAAAUGUGUAAGUAACUAUGCACGUCUUGACGGUACCUAAUCAGAAAGCCACGGCUAACUACGUG
RNAcentral lists this ribosomal RNA (497 nucleotides) under uncultured bacterium. RNAcentral's name for it is "partial 16S ribosomal RNA". It matches the Rfam family "Bacterial small subunit ribosomal RNA", at positions 28 to 507 of the family's 1533-position model. The record is from RNAcentral.